CCUCUGAUACAAGCUUUCGCCUUAAGAUGAGCCCAUGGCCCAUCAGCUAGUUGGUAGGGUAAAGGCCUACCAAGGCUACGACGGGUCGCUGGUCUGAGAGGACGACCAGCCACACUGGCACUGAGAUACGGGCCAGACUCCUACGGGAGGCAGCAGUGAGGAAUAUUGCGCAAUGGGGGAAACCCUGACGCAGCAACGCCGCGUGUGGGAAGAAGGCCUUCGGGUCGUAAACCACUUUUGCACGGGACGAAAAAGGGAUAUCGAACAAAUAUCCCCGAUGACGGUACCGUGAGAAUAAGCCACGGCUAACUCUGUGCCAGCAGCCGCGGUAAGACAGAGGUGGCAAGCGUUGUUCGGAAUUACUGGGCGUAAAGAGUCUGUAGGUGGUUUGUCAAGUCUUUGGUGAAAGGCCGUAGCUUAACUAUGGGAAUGCCAAAGAGACUGGCAGGCUGGAGGCUGGGAGAGGGAAGCGGAAUUUCUGGUGUAGCGGUGAAAUGCGUAGAUAUCAGAAGGAAGG
This 517-nucleotide ribosomal RNA is filed under the name uncultured bacterium. RNAcentral describes it as "bacterial SSU rRNA". It matches the Rfam family "Bacterial small subunit ribosomal RNA", at positions 194 to 708 of the family's 1533-position model. The record is from RNAcentral.